AUGCAUACACCCACAUUACAGUUAUAUGCAUGGAAUUUAGUCCUUACAAUUGUGGAAAGGAAACUAGACUAAUAGUUUGUGUGGGGGAAGGGCCAACUGGGAGUGGCAGUUGGGUCUUGUGACUAGCACUUCCUUCCUGCCCGUGGGGGUCUGGCUACCGGGUGUCGGAGGAGAGAGUAGCUUGUUCAGCCCAGACUGGAGUGGCAUGCUCUUCUUGGUUCAGCCCAAAGACACAGGCUUCUAAAGAGAUUCAUUUGAAUAGGAACUUGCACAAAAUUACUGACCUAGACAUAUUUCCUUUUCUUCUGAUGAGAGCCUUCCCAGAUCACCUUUAAAUUUCAAGUUCAACCUACUAAUGAUUUUAUUAAGUGGAUCAUGGCCAGAUAUGAAGAGGAAAUGGAUCUCAUUUUUUGGACAAGAUAUACAAAAGAGCCACUGCACAGGUCAAAAAAAACCAAUCCAAGAAGGAUUGACGCACUUCUAAGUCAACACAAAGGACUUGAACCUAGUGUGAAGACUCAAGGUUGCGACGCUUAA
This 537-nucleotide long non-coding RNA is filed under the name Monodelphis domestica (gray short-tailed opossum). Its description in RNAcentral is "lncRNA (ENSMODG00000038702.1)". Lineage: Eukaryota; Metazoa; Chordata; Mammalia; Didelphimorphia; Didelphidae. The record is from RNAcentral.